CCUAACAUUCACCACAUUAUCGAUCUCGAUGGAGAAGCCCACAAAUCAAACGCGUGCAAUAGCCCUGCUGCUCUCCCAACUGUUGCUCGUGUGCUUUGCUUUUCAUGCGCAGUGCCGAACCACCGAGGGCAUGGACAACGAGAAAAUCAAUAUACCAGGCGGAUUGUGCGUCCAUCAUAGAGAUUGCAGCCCGGGUAAUUGUUGUUACUGGUGUCUAGUGGUGGAUGAUUGCUAUCCAUCAUUGGAUGAGUGCCAGAAAGAGUGCAAAAAACACAUCCCUGGGCGCCUCUUUAACCUCCCAUCCCCAUGAAAUUGAAUGUCUUCUUUUUAAAGUGUUAAUUAAUUGGAAAGAGAAUAUUUUGUUGUUUUCUUUUGAAGUCCGUACUUGUUCUAAUAAAAGUUAUCUCAAUUUUUA
This is a long non-coding RNA of Triticum dicoccoides, 415 nucleotides long. RefSeq lists it as uncharacterized. The record is from RefSeq and is a predicted model, not a curated record. NCBI's taxonomy places the organism in Eukaryota, Viridiplantae, Streptophyta, Magnoliopsida, Poales, Poaceae. The transcript is spliced from 2 exons.